Non-coding RNA from Acanthosepion pharaonis, 111 nucleotides. NCBI's taxonomy places the organism in Eukaryota, Metazoa, Mollusca, Cephalopoda, Sepiida, Sepiidae. The record is from the annotation of a GenBank genome assembly.
CAGCCAUAUCCCAUUGAAACACUGAUUCCCGUACAAUCACAAAACUUAAGCAACAUUGAGCUUGGUCAGUACCCAGAUGGGUAACUGCUUGGAAAUACCAGGUGCUGUAAG